This 1346-nucleotide ribosomal RNA is filed under the name uncultured bacterium. Its description in RNAcentral is "bacterial SSU rRNA". It matches the Rfam family "Bacterial small subunit ribosomal RNA", at positions 28 to 1381 of the family's 1533-position model. The record is from RNAcentral.
GACGAACUUUGGCGGCGUGCUUAACACAUGCAAGUCGAACGGAAAGGCCCUGCUUUUGUGGGGUGCUCGAGUGGCGAACGGGUGAGUAACACGUGAGUAACCUGCCCUUGACUUUGGGAUAACUUCAGGAAACUGGGGCUAAUACCGGAUAGGAGCUCCUGCUGCAUGGUGGGGGUUGGAAAGUUUCGGCGGUUGGGGAUGGACUCGCGGCUUAUCAGCUUGUUGGUGGGGUAGUGGCUUACCAAGGCUUUGACGGGUAGCCGGCCUGAGAGGGUGACCGGCCACAUUGGGACUGAGAUACGGCCCAGACUCCUACGGGAGGCAGCAGUGGGGAAUAUUGCACAAUGGGCGGAAGCCUGAUGCAGCAACGCCGCGUGCGGGAUGACGGCCUUCGGGUUGUAAACCGCUUUCGCCUGUGACGAAGCGUGAGUGACGGUAAUGGGUAAAGAAGCACCGGCUAACUACGUGCCAGCAGCCGCGGUGAUACGUAGGGUGCGAGCGUUGUCCGGAUUUAUUGGGCGUAAAGGGCUCGUAGGUGGUUGAUCGCGUCGGAAGUGUAAUCUUGGGGCUUAACCCUGAGCGUGCUUUCGAUACGGGUUGACUUGAGGAAGGUAGGGGAGAAUGGAAUUCCUGGUGGAGCGGUGGAAUGCGCAGAUAUCAGGAGGAACACCAGUGGCGAAGGCGGUUCUCUGGGCCUUUCCUGACGCUGAGGAGCGAAAGCGUGGGGAGCGAACAGGCUUAGAUACCCUGGUAGUCCACGCUGUAAACGGUGGGUACUAGGUGUGGGGUCCAUUCCACGGGUUCCGUGCCGUAGCUAACGCUCUAAGUACCCCGCCUGGGGAGUACGGCCGCAAGGCUAAAACUCAAAGGAAUUGACGGGGCCCCGCACAAGCGGCGGAGCAUGCGGAUUAAUUCGAUGCAACGCGUAGAACCUUACCUGGGUUUGACAUGGAUCGGGAGUGCUCAGAGAUGGGUGUGCCUCUUUUGGGGUCGGUUCACAGGUGGUGCAUGCCUGUCGUCAGCUCGUGUCGUGAGAUGUUGGGUUAAGUCCCGCAACGAGCGCAACCCUUGUUCACUGUUGCCAGCACGUUAUGGUGGGGACUCAGUGGAGACCGCCGGGGUCAACUCGGAGGAAGGUGGGGAUGACGUCAAGUCCUCAUGCCCCUUAUGUCCAGGGCUUCACGCAUGCCACAAUGGCUGGUACAGAGAGUGGCGAGCCUGUGAGGGUGAGCGAAUCUCGGAAAGCCGGUCUCAGUUCGGAUUGGGGUCUGCAACUCGACCCCAUGAAGUCGGAGUCGCUAGUAAUCGCAGAUCAGCAACGCUGCGGUGAAUACGUUCCCGGGGCU